GGGUGGGGCCUCCGCCUCCAUCUUGGCGGAGCGGCGGGUUUGGGGUCCCGGCCCGGAGCGGGCGGGCCCGGACUGGACUGGGGGUCCCGUCUGGAUUGGGGGUCCUGGUCUGGAUUGGGGGUCCCGGGCUGGACUGGGGGUCCCGGGCUGGACUGGGGUCCCGGACUGGACUGGGGGUCCUGGUCUGGAUUGGGGGUCCCGGACUGGACUGGGGGUCCCGGACUGGACUGGGGGUCCUGGUCUGGAUUGGGGGUCCCGGCUCGGAUCAGGGGGUCCCGGCUAGAUUGGGGGGUCCCGGCUGAACUGGGGGUCCCGGCUCGGAUUUGGGGUCCUGGCCUGGAUUGGGGCGGACCCCGCGGGUGCAGCCCUUGGAGGGGAGUGCAGGAUUUUGGGGUCCCCCUUUGUAAGAUUUUGGGGUCCCCCUUUGUAGGAUUUUGGGGUCCCCCUUUGUAGGAUUUUGGGGUCCCCCUUUGUAGGAUUUUGGGGUCCCCUUGGGUGCAGCCCUUGGAGGGGAGUGCAGGAUUUUGGGGUCCCCCUUUGUAGGAUUUUGGGGUCCCCUUGAGUGCAGCCCCUGGAGGGGAGUGCAGGAUUUUGGG
This 596-nucleotide long non-coding RNA is filed under the name Taeniopygia guttata (zebra finch). Its description in RNAcentral is "lncRNA (ENSTGUG00000029037.1)". The record is from RNAcentral. Lineage: Eukaryota; Metazoa; Chordata; Aves; Passeriformes; Estrildidae.